This 526-nucleotide ribosomal RNA is filed under the name Shewanella sp. SKA1. RNAcentral describes it as "bacterial SSU rRNA". It matches the Rfam family "Bacterial small subunit ribosomal RNA", at positions 397 to 916 of the family's 1533-position model. Lineage: Bacteria; Pseudomonadati; Pseudomonadota; Gammaproteobacteria; Alteromonadales; Shewanellaceae. The record is from RNAcentral.
CCGCGUGUGUGAAGAAGGCCUUCGGGUUGUAAAGCACUUUCAGCGAGGAGGAAAGCUUAAGCGUUAAUAGCGUUUAGGUGUGACGUUACUCGCAGAAGAAGGACCGGCUAACUUCGUGCCAGCAGCCGCGGUAAUACGAGGGGUCCAAGCGUUAAUCGGAAUUACUGGGCGUAAAGCGUACGCAGGCGGUUUGUUAAGCGAGAUGUGAAAGCCCCGGGCUCAACCUGGGAACUGCAUUUCGAACUGGCAAACUAGAGUCUUGUAGAGGGGGGUAGAAUUUCAGGUGUAGCGGUGAAAUGCGUAGAGAUCUGAAGGAAUACCGGUGGCGAAGGCGGCCCCCUGGACAAAGACUGACGCUCAUGUACGAAAGCGUGGGGAGCAAACAGGAUUAGAUACCCUGGUAGUCCACGCCGUAAACGAUGUCUACUCGGAAUUUGGUGUCUUGAACACUGGGUUCUCAAGCUAACGCAUUAAGUAGACCGCCUGGGGAGUACGGCCGCAAGUUAAAACUCAAAUGAAUUGACGG